Chelonoidis abingdonii (Abingdon island giant tortoise) is the source of this 99-nucleotide non-coding RNA. Lineage: Eukaryota; Metazoa; Chordata; Testudines; Testudinidae. The record is from RefSeq and is a predicted model, not a curated record.
AGAAAGGCAAAGGCCCACCCCCGGGAUGCUGAGCUGCCAGGGCCCAGCUGCUACCUGGGGAGGAGAGGGCGAGUCCUGCCAGGGAGCUGGGGCUGCGCU